ACAGUUCCAACAGUUCUUUCCACACUCACAAAGAAGCGUUGAAAGACUAUUCGGGCUGGGA
Caenorhabditis remanei is the source of this 61-nucleotide non-coding RNA. NCBI's taxonomy places the organism in Eukaryota, Metazoa, Nematoda, Chromadorea, Rhabditida, Rhabditidae. The record is from Rfam.